GCUUCUGUGGCGAAACGGUAGACGCACUCGAUCGAGGGUCGAGCUUUUGUGGGUUCGACUCCCACCAGAAGUA
Molecule: transfer RNA, 73 nt
Filed under: Leptolyngbya sp. NIES-2104
Lineage: Bacteria; Bacillati; Cyanobacteriota; Cyanophyceae; Leptolyngbyales; Leptolyngbyaceae
Description: tRNA-Leu
Rfam family: tRNA
About the family: Transfer RNA (tRNA) molecules are approximately 80 nucleotides in length. Their secondary structure includes four short double-helical elements and three loops (D, anti-codon, and T loops).
Source: RNAcentral